AAAUCGAUUCGGUAUCAAUGA
Molecule: unclassified non-coding RNA, 21 nt
Filed under: Dictyostelium discoideum
Lineage: Eukaryota; Evosea; Eumycetozoa; Dictyosteliales; Dictyosteliaceae
Source: RNAcentral